This 792-nucleotide ribosomal RNA is filed under the name Salmonella enterica. Its description in RNAcentral is "partial 23S ribosomal RNA". It matches the Rfam family "Bacterial large subunit ribosomal RNA", at positions 1 to 735 of the family's 2925-position model. The record is from RNAcentral. Lineage: Bacteria; Pseudomonadati; Pseudomonadota; Gammaproteobacteria; Enterobacterales; Enterobacteriaceae.
GUUAAGCGACUAAGCGUACACGGUGGAUGCCCUGGCAGUCAGAGGCGAUGAAGGGCGUGCUAAUCUGCGAUAAGCGCCGGUAAGGUGAUAUGAACCGUUAUAACCGGCGAUACCCGAAUGGGGAAACCCAGUGUGAUUCGUCACACUAUCAUUAACUGAAUCCAUAGGUUAAUGAGGCGAACCGGGGGAACUGAAACAUCUAAGUACCCCGAGGAAAAGAAAUCAACCGAGAUUCCCCCAGUAGCGGCGAGCGAACGGGGAGGAGCCCAGAGCCUGAAUCAGCAUGUGUGUUAGUGGAAGCGUCUGGAAAGGCGCGCGAUACAGGGUGACAGCCCCGUACACAAAAGCGCAUGUGCUGUGAGCUCGAUGAGUAGGGCGGGACACGUGGUAUCCUGUCUGAAUAUGGGGGGACCAUCCUCCAAGGCUAAAUACUCCUGACUGACCGAUAGUGAACCAGUACCGUGAGGGAAAGGCGAAAAGAACCCCGGCGAGGGGAGUGAAAAAGAACCUGAAACCGUGUACGUACAAGCAGUGGGAGCCCCACCACUAAGCCAGUGGUGAACUCCACAUACGCAUCCUUUGCUGAGGAUACGGUUAACGGAGCGAAAGCGACGUUCAACCUCAAAAGAAGCAGAGGGGGCUUAGUGGUGGGGUGACUGCGUACCUUUUGUAUAAUGGGUCAGCGACUUAUAUUCUGUAGCAAGGUUAACCGAAUAGGGGAGCCGGAGGGAAACCGAGUCUUAACCGGGCGUUAAGUUGCAGGGUAUAGACCCGAAACCCGGUGAUCUAGCC